Molecule: ribosomal RNA, 238 nt
Filed under: uncultured Staphylococcus sp.
Lineage: Bacteria; Bacillati; Bacillota; Bacilli; Caryophanales; Staphylococcaceae
Description: partial 16S ribosomal RNA
Rfam family: Bacterial small subunit ribosomal RNA
Source: RNAcentral
CGGGGUGAGUAACACGUGGAUAACCUACCUAUAAGACUGGGAUAACUUCGGGAAACCGGAGCUAAUACCGGAUAAUAUAUUGAACCGCAUGGUUCAAUAGUGAAAGACGGUUUUGCUGUCACUUGCAGAUGGAUCCGCGCCGCAUUAGCUAGUUGGUAAGGUAAAGGCUUACCAAGGCAACGAUGCGUAGCCGACCUGAGAGGGUGAUCGGCCACACUGGAACUGAGACACGGUCCAG